GUAGUCUCGCACAGAUGCAUAUCAAUAAGCGGAGGAAAAGAAACUAACAAGGAUUCCCCUAGUAACGGCGAGUGAAGCGGGAAGAGCUCAAAUUUGAAAUCUUAAAGGGUUUCCCUUUACGAAUUGUAGUUUAAAGAAGUGUUUUCUGUUGAGGUUUUGGUAAAAGUUCUUUGGAAUAGGACAUCAUAGAGGGUGAGAAUCCCGUAUUUGACCUUUACUUUCAACUUUGUGAUACACUUUCAAAGAGUCGGAUUGUUUGGGAAUGCAGUCCAAAAUGGGUGGUAAAUUUCAUCUAAAGCUAAAUAUUGGCGAGAGACCGAUAGCGAACAAGUACCGUGAGGGAAAGAUGAAAAGAACUUUGAAAAGAGAGUUAAACAGUACGUGAAAUUGUCAAAAGGGAAGCGUUUGACACCAGUGUUGUUUUUCUGAAAAUCAAUUAAAGAACUGUUUAUGCUAAGUUGUUUAGACUUUAUCAGCUAACUGUUUAGUUUUGAGCUUUUCUUUAAUGCACUUUUCAGUUAACGAAGUCAACAUCAAUUUCUUUUGCUGUAAAAAAGCUUGAGGAAGGUGGCUUGAGAUUCGUCUUAAGUGUUUAUAGCCUCUUGCCUAUGCAGUCGGAGAGAUUGAGGUCUGCAGCGUAGAUCCUUCGGGGCUAAAUGCAUUUGUGCUAAGUUAUAGCAUUUUAUAGACAACUUGUUGACUAUGAUUUGUCUUGUAGCUUACUCGCUUAUGUUAUUUUACCUACGCUUAGGAUGUUGAGUAGCGACAUACGCAC
This 775-nucleotide ribosomal RNA is filed under the name uncultured Neocallimastigales. Its description in RNAcentral is "partial large subunit ribosomal RNA". It matches the Rfam family "Eukaryotic large subunit ribosomal RNA", at positions 24 to 649 of the family's 3401-position model. The record is from RNAcentral. Lineage: Eukaryota; Fungi; Neocallimastigomycota; Neocallimastigomycetes; Neocallimastigales.